This 333-nucleotide ribosomal RNA is filed under the name Triticum aestivum (bread wheat). Its description in RNAcentral is "partial small subunit ribosomal RNA". The record is from RNAcentral. Lineage: Eukaryota; Viridiplantae; Streptophyta; Magnoliopsida; Poales; Poaceae.
AUGGAUCCAAGCUAUCACAGGAGGUCACAGAUGGAGGAUGAAUUCAUGUUAUUUGUCUUCCCUACCAUGGAAGAAGGAAGAGAGAAAAAACCAAUGCAUACAUCUAGUCUUACAGGAGCUGCUUAUGUACAGGAAAUCUUAAAUGGGCAUGAAAGCUUAUGCAGAAGGCAUUUCAGAAUGGAGGCUUACAUCUUUCAUGCUCUAGUUGAGAAGCUGCGUGAGAAUGAAAUACUUGAAGAUUCAACAAUAGUCUCCUUGGAAGAAAAGGUUGCGAUCUUUUUAUAUGCAGUUGCAAAAAAUGCUAGUAAUGAAACCAGGUCAUCAAGUCCUUGA